GGUGGAAAUGGGAAAGGUAGGAAUGGAACACUGGGAAUGGGAUAAGUGGGAAAUGAGGGAAUGGGAAAGGUGGGAAUGGGGAUGUGGGAAAUGGGACAGGUGGGAAUGGGAAAGGUGGGAAUGUGGGAAAUGUGGGAAUGGGAAAGGUGGGAAUAUGGGAAUGGGAAAUGUGGGAAAGGUGGGAAUGUGGGGAAUGGGAAAGGCAGGAAUAGGGAAUGUGGGAAAGGGAAAUGUGGGAAUGGGGAAGGUGGGAAUGUGGGAAACAUGGGACUAGGAAAGAUGGGAAUGGGACAGGUGGCAAAUGUGGGAAAGGUGGGAAUGGGAAAGGGGGGAAUGGAACACUGGGAAUGGGACAGGUGGGAAAUGAAGGAAUGGGAAAGGUGGGAAUGUGGGGAACAUGGGAAACGUGGGAAUGGGAAAUGUGGAAAGGGGAAAUGUGGGAGUGGGAAAUGUGGGAAUUAUGGAAGGGGG
Melozone crissalis (California towhee) is the source of this 471-nucleotide long non-coding RNA. RefSeq lists it as uncharacterized. The transcript is spliced from 3 exons. The record is from RefSeq and is a predicted model, not a curated record. NCBI's taxonomy places the organism in Eukaryota, Metazoa, Chordata, Aves, Passeriformes, Passerellidae.